This 253-nucleotide ribosomal RNA is filed under the name uncultured bacterium. Its description in RNAcentral is "partial 16S ribosomal RNA". It matches the Rfam family "Bacterial small subunit ribosomal RNA", at positions 524 to 776 of the family's 1533-position model. The record is from RNAcentral.
UACGUAGGGUGCGAGCGUUGUCCGGAAUUACUGGGCGUAAAGAGCUCGUAGGUGGUUUGUCGCGUUGUUCGUGAAAACCGGGGGCUUAACCCUCGGCGUGCGGGCGAUACGGGCAGACUUGAGUACUGCAGGGGAGACUGGAAUUCCUGGUGUAGCGGUGAAAUGCGCAGAUAUCAGGAGGAACACCGGUGGCGAAGGCGGGUCUCUGGGCCGAUACUGACGCUGAGGAGCGAAAGCGUGGGGAGCAAACAGG